GGUCCUGUAGUGUAGCGGUUAGCACAUGAGAUUCUGAUUCUCAUAACCCAGGUUCGAUUCCUGGCAGGACCU
This 72-nucleotide transfer RNA is filed under the name Fibroporia radiculosa. RNAcentral's name for it is "tRNA-Gln (CTG) (tRNA-Gln-CTG-1-1)". It matches the Rfam family "tRNA". From Rfam's summary of the family: Transfer RNA (tRNA) molecules are approximately 80 nucleotides in length. Lineage: Eukaryota; Fungi; Basidiomycota; Agaricomycetes; Polyporales; Fibroporiaceae. The record is from RNAcentral.